Molecule: ribosomal RNA, 406 nt
Filed under: uncultured bacterium
Lineage: Bacteria
Description: bacterial SSU rRNA
Rfam family: Bacterial small subunit ribosomal RNA
Source: RNAcentral
AGAGUUUGAUCCUGGCUCAGAGCGAACGCUGGCGGCAUGCUUAACACAUGCAAGUCGCACGGUCAGCAAUGGCAGUGGCGGACGGGUGAGUAACGCGUAGGAAUCUAUCUCUGGGUGGGGGACAACUGUGGGAAACUACAGCUAAUACCGCAUGAUACCUGAGGGUCAAAGGCGCAAGUCGCCUGGAGAGGAGCCUGCGUCUGAUUAGCUAGUUGGUGAGGUAAAGGCCCACCAAGGCGACGAUCAGUAGCUGGUCUGAGAGGAUGAUCAGCCACAUUGGGACUGAGACACGGCCCAAACUCCUACGGGAGGCAGCAGUGGGGAAUAUUGGACAAUGGGGGCAACCCUGAUCCAACAAUGCCGCGUGUGUGAAGAAGGUCUUCGGAUUGUAAAGCACUUUGGCAGG